GCCCAAGGUGACAAUCCAAGAGGGGGGGGGGGUGAAUUGGUUUCUUCUAAAUUUUGGUGUUUUAAAAGUUUUCUUAAUUAAGUGCGGUGGAUGCUUUCUUAAAUUAUUUGAAUGAGUUAAACUAGAACAAAGAUGGAAGAUAUUGCAAGAAUAAACGUAAGCACAUGCACAACACAAACACAACAAUAUAUAGUGAUUUGGUGCUCUCCUUAGCACCUACGUCCACUCC
Molecule: long non-coding RNA, 229 nt
Filed under: Phoenix dactylifera (date palm)
Lineage: Eukaryota; Viridiplantae; Streptophyta; Magnoliopsida; Arecales; Arecaceae
Description: long non-coding RNA (PDAC_LNC017614)
Source: RNAcentral